GACGAACGCUGGCGGCGUGCCUAAUACAUGCAAGUCGAACGCACUCUCGUUUAGAUUGAAGGAGCUUGCUCCUGAUUGAUAAACAUUUGAGUGAGUGGCGGACGGGUGAGUAACACGUGGGUAACCUGCCCUAAAGUGGGGGAUAACAUUCGGAAACAGAUGCUAAUACCGCAUAAAACCUAAACACCGCAUGGUGUAGGGUUGAAAGAUGGUUUCGGCUAUCACUUUAGGAUGGACCCGCGGUGCAUUAGUUAGUGGUGAGGUAAAGGACUCACCAAGACCGUGAUGCAUAGCCGACCUGA
RNAcentral lists this ribosomal RNA (302 nucleotides) under uncultured bacterium. RNAcentral describes it as "bacterial SSU rRNA". It matches the Rfam family "Bacterial small subunit ribosomal RNA", at positions 28 to 295 of the family's 1533-position model. The record is from RNAcentral.